Long non-coding RNA from Perca flavescens (yellow perch), 609 nucleotides. RefSeq lists it as uncharacterized. The transcript is spliced from 2 exons. The record is from RefSeq and is a predicted model, not a curated record. NCBI's taxonomy places the organism in Eukaryota, Metazoa, Chordata, Actinopteri, Perciformes, Percidae.
GAGCUCAAAAGGACGCAGAGUUGGCUUAUUUUCUCCUGAACAGUCCCCAGGUGUUAUGCAGCCCCUGCCCUACCUGGCCCACACCUGGGACAGGCACCAGUGGAGAAGGCACCCUGGUAUGUAUGGUUAAGGAGCCACAGAGGAUAUAAUAUGGCAAAGUGACAGUAGAUACUGCUGUUAUUCAGGCUCUGUAAAGGAUACGUCUGAGGUGGGGCCUCGGCUUUCUGGACGAUGUCAUUGGCUCUGUUGGUCACAUCCGUCAUCUCCACUGGAGUCUCGUCCAUUUUCAGGGCUGUGAUUCGCUCCUGUGGCAUGGACUCCGCAAAACCACACUUGCCACCCGCCUUCCUGGAUGAACGGAAAAACACAGUUCUUUUGUACAUCUUCUGACAACACCAGGAGGUCAAACAGCCGUCGAUAUGUCCACUUCCACUGUUUAAUACGCAAGUGUGUGUGGUAACGUGAUGUCACUGCUCACCUUGCUUUCUUAUCGUUCUCCAGAGCUUUGCUGAUGAGCUCCGUGAUUUCAGAAACUUUGACACUGGCUAUUUUACUGCAUCUCAUAACCUUUGACACAACACACAAAAAAUAAACUGGUCUUAAACUUGG